UUUGAUCUGCACAAUCACCGUAUAAUUCCAGUUUACGAGGGCUGUUCCGUAAACCGCUACAACUCUACUCUGUCGAAACUGUAAUUGCGUGAACCGUAAAACGUAAUUCAACUUUUAAUUUUAGGAUAUUUGUUCAGUGGGGGAGGAAUGUCAGCUCCAAAAAAACAGGUUCAGUUUUCACUGACAAUCUCUGCUGGCACGUUAAGCAGCAGCUCCAACCACGAAUGUACAAUCAAGCAUUAUGAACGGUACUUUACUUUUUUUGUGUGUCGAUCAAAGUCCCAUGAGACUUCAAACAGCCGAUCAUCCAAGACAAAAACUUGGCAUACAUGGCAUACAAUGAGAAACCUCUCAGCUGAAAUCAUUCCAUUCAACUAAUCCAGAUGUUUUAUUAUUUAUAAGAAUUUACAAGAAAUGAACUGCUAAACUGAAUUUGUACAUAAACGUUAUUAAUCAGAUGGAAUCUACUAGUUGCUUGCAAAGCUUUUCUCUGUUCCCAUUAGAAAUGUAAAUGUGUGAAAUUGCACAAAUGUUGGUCUACCCUUGUUUGGUUCUGGGUUUCUUUGUGGCUUUCUCUGUGGGGUCUUGUGUAUGUGCACUAUUACCACCUCUAGAUGGCGCCAGAUCCAUCCUGUCGGAGGGUGUGAGUGACAUCACCGGUACACCUGACUCGAAUCUGGCUCAUCAGCGGCAGGUUCAAGAGGAGCUGACUGCCAGUUCUUCGGCGCCUGAGUGUUAGCCAGUAACGGUGAUCCCUCGUGAUGCCCUGGAUCCACUCUGUGCUGAUCCUUCCUGGCUUUCUGAUCAAGCCCUUUUCUCGUGACGCCGUGGAACGUACCCACUGGUUGCCCGAGUUCCCAGACUCACCUCCAACGUGUGACAACAAGUUCCUCCUGGAUUUCCAUGACUGGCAGUCGCACCGCUCCUCUGUUCCUGCUGAUCCUGGGCCUACCUGUCCGCCCUCCGAUGUGCCCUUCCGUUGCCUUCUGGUUUCCCGUCAACACGCACAAAAACCACCUGGACCCACAGAGAGACUGAGACCCCGGAUGUUGCAGUUCCCUCCCAAAACCUCGAACCAACUAUCCACAAUGUGCCGAUUGUUCCCUGAACCCGUUUCCCUCCUUGGACCAAACCUGAGCCUGCAUAACCAUC
Long non-coding RNA from Poeciliopsis prolifica (blackstripe livebearer), 1152 nucleotides. RefSeq lists it as uncharacterized. The transcript is spliced from 3 exons. NCBI's taxonomy places the organism in Eukaryota, Metazoa, Chordata, Actinopteri, Cyprinodontiformes, Poeciliidae. The record is from RefSeq and is a predicted model, not a curated record.